This is a long non-coding RNA of Vidua chalybeata, 3528 nucleotides long. RefSeq lists it as uncharacterized. The record is from RefSeq and is a predicted model, not a curated record. The transcript is spliced from 2 exons. Lineage: Eukaryota; Metazoa; Chordata; Aves; Passeriformes; Viduidae.
UCCUCUUCUGGGUGAAAGGUUUUGGUUCAGACUCACUUUGAAUGUCUUCAGCCCGGGCUCAGUGUGGGGAGCUGGGGGGAAGGAUGCCGCUUGUUCCAGAGCAAGAAUGGGGCAGCUGGAAAGGGGAACUUUGCAGCAACGUUUUUAUUUAUUGGAUUUGUCCUCGCCCCAAAGGGAAGUAGGAGCUUUUGUGUGUGUGCAGAUAAUGUUCUCCAGGUCUAGUUUCAGUUUGCUCAGAAAGAUGUGCUGUCCAUGGUGGCCCUUUGAAGAACAAAGUGUUGGUCCCUUCUUUGUUGUGGUCUGUCUUCAUGGUGCAGAAUUCCUGGUGGAAACCUUUCCCAUGCUUUGUCCUGGGCUCCUGGCCUCUCCAGGGCCAUGGGGACAGGGAUGAGGCCUUUGAAAUAAGCUAAAUUUGCAUCAUGCCUGUAGCUGUGAAGUGGCAGAUGAUGUUACUUUCUCAAAAGGAAGCUUUGUGGCUUUUUAAUUUUAUUAUUUUACGGUUGUUUUCUUUGCAUAAACCCACAGGAGGAAAGUUUUGUGUUCCCCAAGGAACACAAAAUUUGGGAUGGACUGCAGCUACAUUGGGCUUCACUCCUCCUGUCUGGAGGGAACAAAAAACGUGGAAGCUGCUGGAGGUUUGGGAUUUUUUGCCUCUUUGGAGGAAGGUGGAGGAGGAGCACAGGCUGAGGGGACAGACUCUGUCCUGUGAGCUCCUGUGACAUCUGUUCCAGACUCCUGGUCCCCUCUGUGAUCCCAAACCCCCUCAGCUCUGAUCCAAACCCCCAGUCCAUGACACAAAGCUGCUUCCCUGUCCUGUCCAAGAUCUGUGUUCUGAUUUAAUUCCAUUACCAGAGAUUUUUGUUUCCCCCCACCUCAUCGCCCUUCCUCUAUUUUUCUUUGCAGCAGAGUUUGUAGCAUUCAAAAAAAAAAAAAAAAAAUCCCAAAGUGGAAAUACUGGAGUUUUGCCACAUUUGUGGAGUGAGGGAUGGCUCUGCUUGGGCCAGACUCGAUUUUCCUGAUGAGUCCUGCCCUGCUGGGUCACUCUCCUGCUGCUCUCCUGCUCCACAUUGGUGUGGCUCCAUCAGCUGCUCCCUGCCAUCCCUGGAUUUCCAGGCACAAGGAGCUGGUUUGGGUUUGAUGGUUUUUUUCCCCCACCAAGCAAAAUGAGGUCUUGAUAUUCCUUUUGAGAAAAGAUUCCUCUGCCCUGUCCUUGGAUGUCUCGAAGGAGCAGGGAAAGGCAGGGCCAGGCUUGGUUCAGCCUCAGUGUGUGAUGUGAUUUUCCUGCCGAGGCAGAGCAGAUCUAUCUGUGCAUCCACAGGCUCAAACCUGAAUUUUUCCAUAUUUUCCUGCCAGCCCUGCUGCAGGGAGUUCCACAGGAACCUGCUGUGCCAUGGUUCUUUUCCCUCAUCCCUCUGGGACACUAGAGAGGAUUUCCUGGGACACACCUGGCUCUUGGUGCCACUGUCACACCCGGAGAGGAGAAUGUGCGUCUCACCAAAGGCAUCUCGGGGGUUCCAGGCUCUGGAGCUUUGUUCAGCCAAAGUCCUGCUGAGGGCUGGGAAUGUCUCGGUGCUAAAUGAAUGUUCCAAGGUGUCCAUAGGAUCCUGGGGUUGGGUGUAGGUACGAGGUGGGGAGGUUCAGUGGGAGCAAUACAGCCAAGGCUUGGUAAUCUGACUUUAUACCAAAGGUUUCUCCUGUUAAUUCGAUGGGAAUUCAAUGAGGCAAAUAUCUCUGGAAUUCAAAUGAGUUUUCCUAACGCAGUUUAGUCACUAAUUUGCUGGAUUAUUGGCAGAUUCUGCCCCAUUAACCCAAAGAAAUUGGAAUUUCUAGUGCAGUAAUUCAGCCUGUAAAUGAUCACUGCAGAAGGGAUUGGAUUUCACUGCCUGCUGAGCCACUCUUCCCCAAAAACCCCACUCGGGAUCCAUGGGAACAAACCUGGGCUGGAGCUGGGUCAGUCCAACACUGCCUUACCUGAGGAGCUCCCAUUUGGGAGUGGUCACUGAGGCUUCUUAUGCAAAAGGACUUCCCAACCAGAAACCAGCUGGAAAAGUCAGGAACAGCAGAAUGUCCUGCCAGGAUAUUUAGGAAAAACUUGAGGAAUUUGCCUGUUCCUUGCAGGGAAGUGAGGGACUGGGGCUGUGAAGCUGUGAUGGAACCACUGCCAUUGGGGUCAGCCUGCCAAGAGGUUCUGUGUUCCAUUCUGGGGACUUGGGGGUUUUCUUUCUUUUUUUUUUUGUUUUUAUACACAUAAGAAAAUGGUCGAUUUUCUCUAUUUUUGUAUAAUUUUGCAUUUUAUAAUCAUGGGGAAAUUUUACAGACUGUUCUUUUACUUGUGUGUCUUGUCUUUCCAAGCGGUGUGGUUUGCUUUUCCCGUGGAUAAAAGGCCAUUCCUGCUGCUGCCAUGCCUGGAUCCCACCCUGCUCCCUGGGAAUGUGCUGGGGCCUCUGCCCAGCCCUUCACAAACACACUUUGCACACACUUGAGAUGUCCUUAACCCUCCUCUGUCACACUCAGCUGUCCCUUGUUUGCUUUUCAGUGUUGUUUUUAAUCUGAAUUUGUGGAUUUUGGUGAUUUCUCCCUCCAACUGUUGUAAACAGCCCAUGGGAUUCAGCUGAGGCUUUUCCUGCUGUCUGCUGAUGUUAUUUUAUCUAAAAUUGGGGCUUUUCUUCAGUCCCUGUGCAGGAGAUGCUGUUGGCUGGUGCAUGGAAAUGCUCUUGGACAGGUUUCCUCUCCCCUUGGUGCUCUCUGGCUGGGCUGGGAGGUAGGAUUUUGCCCUGGUGCCUGAGGAUUGCUCCUUAAAUAAAUCUGGGAUUAGCAGGGCUCCCCACCUUCUCCUUCCUCCUCCAGGGAGCUCCAGCCUGUGCUCUGCUUCACUGAAAUAUCUCCCUGGAAUGACACUGCCUUGAACUUUGGGAUCAGAGGAGAGGAGAGCUGCUGGAAUGCUAAAAUCCAGUCCAAAGCAGAUUUCCCCCCGCUUUUUUCCCUCAGCAGAGGUGGCAAUUGUCACUGAUUUGGCUCUGCAGAGAUUUUUUUUUUUUUUGUCUUCUAAUUAAUAACUUGUCACCUAAUGGUGCUUUUAAAAGUUUUUCUGGAUUGGGUUUGCCCCAUUCCCCACAGGAAUGGACAGGAAGGUUUCAUUGAACAUUCCUGGGGCACUCAGACCCACCUUCCACAUUCCCUCUGCUCUGGAAUUCUGAGCUCCCUCCUCUCCAGCUGGGGCCUCCUGCUCUUCUCACCCACAUUGAGUCACCCCAAAGCUCCAUUUGGGUAAAGUGAGAAAUUCAAAUCCCAAAAAGCCUCUCAGUUGUAAGGAAAUAAUGACUUAGCCCUUGUCCUUGGCUGCCCCAUCCCGCUGCCAGGCUGGCAGCUCCUCCCAGGUGACCAACCUGGCUGAAUUUGGGGUUUUUUUGUUUCCUUCCUGGUCUCAUUGCUACUAGUCCUUUCAAGUUUUUAAUGUAUUGAUUGUGUUUUAAAAAUGAAUGUUCCUUUCACUGAAUUCUAAUGAAUAAACUGCAGAUUUUUAGAGAA